UUGUGGAGGAGGACGCCGAAGGUGGGGCUAAUGACUGGGGUGAAGUCGUAACAAGGUAGCCGUACCGGAAGGUGCGGCUGGAUCACCUCCUAACAGGGAGACAACAAAAUGUUUAAUAUUAUUAUUUUGUCACCUUAGGUCGAUCGGUAUCUCACGUUCUUAAUUUAUUAAGAAUUUCAUUUCCUAAGUUUUUCUAGGUCACACCCAUUAUUUUUCCUUGGCCAUUAGCUCAGGUGGUUAGAGCGCACCCCUGAUAAGGGUGAGGUCCCUGGUUCAAGUCCAGGAUGGCCCAUAUCUCUAUGUUGGGGGUAUAGCUCAGUUGGUAGAGCGCCUGCUUUGCAAGCAGGAUGUCAGCGGUUCGAGUCCGCUUACCUCCACUGAUUACCACCUCUUCCAUAAUCUUUAGAAAGGAAAUGUUUUGAGUUGUGAUCUAAUUCUGAACGAAUCUAGCUUCCUAAUGAAAUUAUUAAGAUGCUGGACUCAUUGAAUUAAAUUCAUUGUUUUCAGAGAACCUUGACAACUGCAUAGAUUUUUUUAAAGACAAUAAGCAUCUUUAGUGAUGCAGAUUUAUUAUUUGUGCGAAUGCAUUAAUAACAAUUCUAUUAAGCUGAUGCUUCAAUAUUUGAAGUUAUUGGUCAAGCUACAA
RNAcentral lists this unclassified non-coding RNA (646 nucleotides) under uncultured Prochlorococcus sp. RNAcentral describes it as "partial 16S-23S ribosomal RNA intergenic spacer; may also contain 16S ribosomal RNA and 23S ribosomal RNA". The stretch from base 305 to 377 matches the Rfam family "tRNA". The record is from RNAcentral. Lineage: Bacteria; Bacillati; Cyanobacteriota; Cyanophyceae; Synechococcales; Prochlorococcaceae.